AGAUUCAGCCCUUUGUCGCUAA
This 22-nucleotide small nuclear RNA is filed under the name Arabidopsis thaliana (thale cress). Its description in RNAcentral is "snRNA_15590". Lineage: Eukaryota; Viridiplantae; Streptophyta; Magnoliopsida; Brassicales; Brassicaceae. The record is from RNAcentral.